Non-coding RNA from Meleagris gallopavo (turkey), 222 nucleotides. The record is from RefSeq and is a predicted model, not a curated record. Lineage: Eukaryota; Metazoa; Chordata; Aves; Galliformes; Phasianidae.
UUUGUGUUUUGUGCUGCAGUGUAUAAGCUUGGGAGGAUACAGGACAGGAGACCUGGAACGUCUCUGCCGUGAGAGACCGGCCGAUCCUCCGGAGGUCCUCUCACACCUGCAGGGUCGUAAGAGGUGAACAGAGAAACGAGACGGCUGCUGGUGUACAGACUGUGACAGGAACGGUGUAAGAGUCUGCAGAAAACGGGCUUCUCCCAGAGGAGAGCUACGUGC